This 379-nucleotide long non-coding RNA is filed under the name Oryza sativa (Asian cultivated rice). RNAcentral's name for it is "long non-coding RNA (OSAT_LNC001848)". The record is from RNAcentral. Lineage: Eukaryota; Viridiplantae; Streptophyta; Magnoliopsida; Poales; Poaceae.
AACAAAUGCAUCAGAAAUUCGGCAGAAAAAUAUGGGCCUUGUGGAUGUUAAGGCACCAAGAGAGAGUUGCAGCAAGCCACAAAAUUUGCAGGAAAUGAUGCAGAAACACAUGGCCCUAAGUGCUCCAGCCAUACUCUCUCUGGAUCAGUUUCAAAACCUCAUUGUCUGCUCCCUGUUGCUGCAGUGACAGUUGCUUCAAAGAUACAUAUCAGCAAUUAAAUGAACGUUUUUUUUAAAUUUGUUGGGUAAUCAAAUCAUUUUUGUACAAAAAAAAAUUGGUGAAUUUUAUGUACCUGUCUUGCUGUGGUGUCUAUAUAAGAUCAAAGUUGGCUAUGUGGCAGAUACUUGAGAAUAUCAGUGCACCAAUGGAGAGCUCAAG